This 93-nucleotide non-coding RNA is filed under the name Clostridium bornimense. RNAcentral describes it as "NiCo sequence". It matches the Rfam family "NiCo (Nickel/Cobalt) riboswitch aptamer". Lineage: Bacteria; Bacillati; Bacillota; Clostridia; Eubacteriales; Clostridiaceae. The record is from Rfam by way of RNAcentral.
ACAGUACAAACUGAUCAAGCCGAUGAAUAAAAAUUUUAUUCAUGGAGCCGGGCCAUAUUUGGCAACAGGUUAACAUAUGCCUGUGGGACAGUA